GGGGGGGGGGGCUAGGAGGAAAAAUUUUGUCCUGCAUUUUUUUUUAGCUGUAAUCUCUGUCCUGCCUUUUUAUUUUUCACUCUGUUCGGUCCUGCCUUUUUUUUUUUUGUUUAUCCUGACUUAUUUUUACCUAAAUUGUCGUCCUGACUUUUUUUUUUGCAAGUGUCUCAUCCUGCCUUUUUUUUUACUCAAAACUCCUGUCCUGCCUAUUUUUUUCAAAUUUCAUCCUAGCCCCCCCCCCAUAAAAAUUAAAUGGUAGCUCCUUAAUUUUGUCUACUUUCGACCGGUUCAAACCAGCUCGACUAGUGAAGUGUAAAAAAAUUCAAAUAAAUAUUAUAACUAUUCUAAAGAAUCUCCCCACUUUUUUAAUUGGAAACAAUCACUGUUUUAAAAUCUUUAUAAUACUACAAAAACUUGAAAAAAGUGUGAGUUAAUUCUGUUUUUUAA
This 447-nucleotide long non-coding RNA is filed under the name Mytilus galloprovincialis (Mediterranean mussel). The record is from RNAcentral. Lineage: Eukaryota; Metazoa; Mollusca; Bivalvia; Mytilida; Mytilidae.